RNAcentral lists this ribosomal RNA (1372 nucleotides) under uncultured bacterium. RNAcentral's name for it is "bacterial SSU rRNA". It matches the Rfam family "Bacterial small subunit ribosomal RNA", at positions 28 to 1381 of the family's 1533-position model. The record is from RNAcentral.
GAUGAACGCUGGCGGCGUGCCUAAUACAUGCAAGUCGAGCGAACGGACGAGAAGCUUGCUUCUCUGAUGUUAGCGGCGGACGGGUGAGUAACACGUGGAUAACCUACCUAUAAGACUGGGAUAACUUCGGGAAACCGGGGCUAAUACCGGAUAAUAUUUUGAACCGCAUGGUUCAAAAGUGAAAGACGGUCUUGCUGUCACUUAUAGAUGGAUCCGCGCUGCAUUAGCUAGUUGGUAAGGUAACGGCUUACCAAGGCAACGAUGCAUAGCCGACCUGAGAGGGUGAUCGGCCACACUGGAACUGAGACACGGUCCAGACUCCUACGGGAGGCAGCAGUAGGGAAUCUUCCGCAAUGGGCGAAAGCCUGACGGAGCAACGCCGCGUGAGCGAUGAAGGUCUUCGGAUCGUAAAACUCUGUUAUUAGGGAAGAACAUAUGUGUAAGUAACUGUGCACAUCUUGACGGUACCUAAUCAGAAAGCCACGGCUAACUACGUGCCAGCAGCCGCGGUAAUACGUAGGUGGCAAGCGUUAUCCGGAAUUAUUGGGCGUAAAGCGCGCGUAGGCGGUUUUUUAAGUCUGAUGUGAAAGCCCACGGCUCAACCGUGGAGGGUCAUUGGAAACUGGAAAACUUGAGUGCAGAAGAGGAAAGUGGAAUUCCAUGUGUAGCGGUGAAAUGCGCAGAGAUAUGGAGGAACACCAGUGGCGAAGGCGACUUUCUGGUCUGUAACUGACGCUGAUGUGCGAAAGCGUGGGGAUCAAACAGGAUUAGAUACCCUGGUAGUCCACGCCGUAAACGAUGAGUGCUAAGUGUUAGGGGGUUUCCGCCCCUUAGUGCUGCAGCUAACGCGUUAAGCACUCCGCCUGGGGAGUACGACCGCAAGGUUGAAACUCAAAGGAAUUGACGGGGACCCGCACAAGCGGUGGAGCAUGUGGUUUAAUUCGAAGCAACGCGAAGAACCUUACCAAAUCUUGACAUCCUUUGACAACUCUAGAGAUAGAGCCUUCCCCUUCGGGGGACAAAGUGACAGGUGGUGCAUGGUUGUCGUCAGCUCGUGUCGUGAGAUGUUGGGUUAAGUCCCGCAACGAGCGCAACCCUUAAGCUUAGUUGCCAUCAUUAAGUUGGGCACUCUAAGUUGACUGCCGGUGACAAACCGGAGGAAGGUGGGGAUGACGUCAAAUCAUCAUGCCCCUUAUGAUUUGGGCUACACACGUGCUACAAUGGACAAUACAAAGGGCAGCGAAACCGCGAGGUCAAGCAAAUCCCAUAAAGUUGUUCUCAGUUCGGAUUGUAGUCUGCAACUCGACUACAUGAAGCUGGAAUCGCUAGUAAUCGUAGAUCAGCAUGCUACGGUGAAUACGUUCCCGGGUCU